RNAcentral lists this ribosomal RNA (622 nucleotides) under bacterium S932. RNAcentral's name for it is "bacterial SSU rRNA". It matches the Rfam family "Bacterial small subunit ribosomal RNA", at positions 87 to 742 of the family's 1533-position model. The record is from RNAcentral.
CGGGAUUAGUGGCAGACGGGUGAGUAACGCGUGGGAAGCUACCUUGUGGUAGGGAACAACAGUUGGAAACGACUGCUAAUACCCUAUGAGCCCUAUGGGGGAAAGAUUUAUCGCCAUGAGAUGUGCCCGCGUUAGAUUAGCUAGUUGGUAAGGUAAUGGCUUACCAAGGCGACGAUCUAUAGCUGGUCUGAGAGGAUGAUCAGCCACACUGGGACUGAGACACGGCCCAGACUCCUACGGGAGGCAGCAGUGGGGAAUAUUGGACAAUGGGGGCAACCCUGAUCCAGCCAUGCCGCGUGAGUGAUGACGGCCUUAGGGUUGUAAAGCUCUUUCAGCAGUGAAGAUAAUGACAUUAACUGCAGAAGAAGCCCCGGCUAACUUCGUGCCAGCAGCCGCGGUAAUACGAAGGGGGCUAGCGUUGUUCGGAAUCACUGGGCGUAAAGCGUACGUAGGCGGACUGAUCAGUCAGGGGUGAAAUCCCGGGGCUCAACCCCGGAACUGCCUUUGAUACUGUCAGUCUUGAGAUCGAGAGAGGUGAGUGGAACUCCGAGUGUAGAGGUGAAAUUCGUAGAUAUUCGGAAGAACACCAGUGGCGAAGGCGGUCUCACUGGACUCGAUACUG